UGGGGAAUAUUGGACAAUGGGGGCAACCCUGAUCCAGCAAUGCCGCGUGUGUGAAGAAGGCCUGCGGGUUGUAAAGCACUUUUGGCAGGGAUGAAAAGCACUGGAUUAAUAACCCAGUGUGUUGACCUAACCUGCAGAAGAAGCACCGGCUAACUCUGUGCCAGCAGCCGCGGUAAUACGUAGGGUGCAAGCGUUAAUCGGAAUUACUGGGCGUAAAGCGUGCGCAGGCGGUUAUGCAAGACAGGUGUGAAAUCCCCGGGCUUAACCUGGGAACUGCACUUGUGACUGCAUAGCUGGAGUACGGCAGAGGGGGAUGGAAUUCCGCGUGUAGCAGUGAAAUGCGUAGAUAUGUGGAGGAAUACCGAUGGCGAAGGCAGCCCCCUGGGAUAACACUGACGCCCAUGCACGAAAGCGUGGGGAGCAAACAGGAUUAGAUACCCAAGUAGUCCCUGAGCGGGCUGGCAAGGCGCAU
Molecule: ribosomal RNA, 472 nt
Filed under: uncultured bacterium
Lineage: Bacteria
Description: bacterial SSU rRNA
Rfam family: Bacterial small subunit ribosomal RNA
Source: RNAcentral